GAGUCCGUAGCUCAGUUGGUAGAGCACCGGCCUUUUAAGCCGGUGGCCGAGGGUUCGAGACCCUCCGGACUCACUA
RNAcentral lists this transfer RNA (76 nucleotides) under Candidatus Latescibacterota bacterium. RNAcentral's name for it is "Candidatus Latescibacteria bacterium tRNA-Lys". It matches the Rfam family "tRNA". Rfam says of the family: Transfer RNA (tRNA) molecules are approximately 80 nucleotides in length. Their secondary structure includes four short double-helical elements and three loops (D, anti-codon, and T loops). Lineage: Bacteria; Pseudomonadati; Candidatus Latescibacterota. The record is from RNAcentral.